CUGUUGUGUGUGAAUACACACUCACCAUUAUGAACCAUACCGACUUUGUAAGCUGGAGGAAAUGGGAAUUAAGGACACAGGCACUAACAGGUGAUUUUUUUUGUGACACUGUGGCGUGUGAAUACACACUCACCAUUAUGAACCAUACCGACUUUGUAAGCUGGAGGAAAUGGGAAUUAAGGACACAGGCACUAACAGGUGAUUUUUUUGUGACGCUGUUGCGUGUGAAUACACACUCACCAUUAUGAACCAUACCGACUUUGUAAGCUGGAGGAAAUGGGAUUUAAGGACACAGGCACUAACAGGUGAUUUGUUUGUGACGCUGUUGCGUGUGAAUAGGGAGGAACACACACUCACCAUUAUGAACCAUACCAACUUUGUAAGCUGGAGGAAAUGGGAAUUAAGGACACAGGCACUAACAGGUGAUUUUUUGUGACACUGUUGUGUGUGAAUAGGGAGGAACACACACUCACCAUUAUGAACCAUACCGACUUUGUAAGCUGGAGGAAAUGGGAAUUAAGGACACAGGCACUAACAGGUGAUUUUUUGUGACACUGUUGUGUGUGAAUAGGGAGGAACACACACUCACCAUUAUGAACCAUACCGACUUUGUAAGCUGGAGGAGAUGGGAAUUAAGGACACAGGCACUAACAGGUGAUUUUUUUGUGACGCUGUGGCGUGUGAAUAGGGAGGAACACACACUCACCAUUAUGAACCAUACCGACUUUGUAAGCUGGAGGAAAUGGGAAUUAAGGACACAGGCACUAACAGGUGAUUUUUUUGUGACGCUGUGGCGUGUGAAUAGGGAGGAACACACACUCACCAUUAUGAACCAUACCGACUUUGUAAGCUGGAGGAAAUGGGAAUUAAGGACACAGGCACUAACAGGUGAUUUUUUGUGACACUGUUGUGUGUGAAUAGGGAGGAACACACACUCACCAUUAUGAACCAUACCGACUUUGUAAGCUGGAGGAGAUGGGAAUUAAGGACACAGGCACUAACAGGUGAUUUUUUGUGACACUGUUGUGUGUGAAUACACACUCACCAUUAUGAACCAUACCGACUUUGUAAGCUGGAGGAAAUGGGAAUUAAGGACACAGGCACUAACAGGUGAUUUUUUGUGACACUGUUGUGUGUGAAUAGGGAGGAACACACACUCACCAUUAUGAACCAUACCGACUUUGUAAGCUGGAGGAGAUGGGAAUUAAGGACACAGGCACUAACAGGUGAUUUUUUGUGACACUGUUGUGUGUGAAUAGGGAGGAAUACACACUCACCAUUAUGAACCAUACCGACUUUGUAAGCUGGAGGAAAUGAGAAUUAAGGACACAGGCAGUAACAGGUGAUUUUUUUGUGAUGCUGUUGCGUGUGAAUAGGGAGGAACACACACUCACCAUUAUGAACCAUACCGACUUUGUAAGCUGGAGGAAAUGGGAAUUAAGGACACAGGCACUAACAGGUGAUUUUUUGUGACACUGUUGUGUGUGAAUAGGGAGGAACACACACUCACCAUUAUGAACCAUACCGACUUUGUAAGCUGGAGGAAAUGGGAAUUAAGGACACAGGCAGUAACAGGUGAUUUUUUGUGACACUGUUGUGUGUGAAUAGGGAGGAACACACACUCACCAUUAUGAACCAUACCGACUUUGUAAGCUGGAGGAAAUGGGAUUUAAGGACACAGGCACUAACAGGUGAUUUUUUGUGACACUGUUGUGUGUGAAUAGGGAGGAACACACACUCACCAUUAUGAACCAUACCGACUUUGUAAGCUGGAGGAAAUGGGAAUUAAGGACACAGGCAGUAACAGGUGAUUUUUUUGUGAUGCUGUUGCGUGUGAAUAGGGAGGAACACACACUCACCAUUAUGAACCAUACCGACUUUGUAAGCUGGAGGAAAUGGGAAUUAAGGACACAGGCACUAACAGGUGAUUUUUUGUGACACUGUUGUGUGUGAAUAGGGAGGAACACACACUCACCAUUAUGAACCAUACCGACUUUGUAAGCUGGAGGAAAUCGGAUUUAAGGACACAGGCACUAACAGGUGAUUUUUUGUGAUGCUGUUGUGUGUGAAUAGGGAGGAACACACACUCACCAUUAUGAACCAUACCGACUUUGUAAGCUGGAGGAAAUGGGAUUUAAGGACACAGGCACUAACAGGUGAUUUUUUGUGACACUGUUGUGUGUGAAUAGGGAGGAACACACACUCACCAUUAUGAACCAUACCGACUUUGUAAGCUGGAGGAAAUGGGAAUUAAGGACACAGGCAGUAACAGGUGAUUUUUUGUGACACUGUUGUGUGUGAAUAGGGAGGAACACACACUCACCAUUAUGAACCAUACCGACUUUGUAAGCUGGAGGAAAUGGGAUUUAAGGACACAGGCACUAACAGGUGAUUUUUUGUGACACUGUUGUGUGUGAAUAGGGAGGAACACACACUCACCAUUAUGAACCAUACCGACUUUGUAAGCUGGAGGAAAUGGGAAUUAAGGACACAGGCAGUAACAGGUGAUUUUUUUGUGAUGCUGUUGCGUGUGAAUACACACUCACCAUUAUGAACCAUACCGACUUUGUAAGCUGGAGGAAAUGGGAAUUAAGGACACAGGCACUAACAGGUGAUUUUUUGUGACACUGUUGUGUGUGAAUAGGGAGGAACACACACUCACCAUUAUGAACCAUACCGACUUUGUAAGCUGGAGGAAAUGGGAAUUAAGGACACAGGCAGUAACAGGUGAUUUUUUUGUGACGCUGUUGCGUGUGAAUAGGGAGGAACACACAC
Oreochromis niloticus (Nile tilapia) is the source of this 2775-nucleotide long non-coding RNA. RefSeq lists it as uncharacterized. The transcript is spliced from 3 exons. NCBI's taxonomy places the organism in Eukaryota, Metazoa, Chordata, Actinopteri, Cichliformes, Cichlidae. The record is from RefSeq and is a predicted model, not a curated record.